Lytechinus pictus (painted urchin) is the source of this 1631-nucleotide long non-coding RNA. RefSeq lists it as uncharacterized. The record is from RefSeq and is a predicted model, not a curated record. NCBI's taxonomy places the organism in Eukaryota, Metazoa, Echinodermata, Echinoidea, Temnopleuroida, Toxopneustidae. The transcript is spliced from 3 exons.
UUCGAUCAUGACAUAAAAUCAUGCAUAGCUUAUGCCGUUGACAUAAAUUCUGUUGCAUAAAAAUAUUUAUGUAUUGUUUUAGCUUAUGACGCGAUUUAAUCAUCAUUACAUAAACUGAAUAGUCAUGAACGAGCCUGUUGACAUAAACUUGGCAUAAGUUGUCAUUUUCAGCCGCAGCAAGUUCUUGCGAAAAAGGGUCAUCGGCUUCCCAUUUUGACGGGAUAGAGGCAUAUUUUGUUGAACCACACAAACGGUGAGAAGAGGUAGAAAUAAAGAGGGGGAUUGCAACUGGAAGGAGAUGGAAGUCCAGACACUCUGCCACUGUGUGCCAUUGAACAAGAAAUCUCUUUUAGUAUGAAGAUUAUUCAAGAGUCAAGACUGUUGAAGACGUGACGACAUGGACCUGGUUGCACAUGGCAAGGGAACUAUCUGGUUGUACCCUGAAGUAUUCGCUUUAAGAUUUGAAAAUGAGCAAAAGUAAUAAUUUUCAUUUUUUCAGAGAUAAUAAUCAUUAUAUUGACAUUGUGGAUAUCUUUUUAUGAUUGUUAUCAUAAAAUUAUUAUAAUGUUAAUGAUGAUAGGUCAUAAUAAUACAAAUGAAUUAUAAGUAGAAAAGAAGACAACCAAAAAUGAGGAGGAAAAGAAGAAGAUGAAGAAGAAAAAGAAGAGGAGGGGUGGAAGAGGAGAAAAGGAGAAGAAUAAAUAACAUCACUGUGAGUUCCUCUUCAUGAUAUUACAUAAAUAUUUGUCUCUUUUAAAUGAAAAUAUUUAUUAAGCAUAAAAAUAGGAUUUAGUUAUUCUUGUUUUUUAAGAUGUAUUAUUAUGUAUCAUGUUUGUAGUUGUACACUUGAUUGAGGUACAUGUAUUGUAUUCAUUUAGGAUAUAAAUAAUAUGUUUUAUUUGAAUCCAUGUACCUCUUUAAAGGACAAGUCCACCCCAACAAAAAGUUGAUUUGAAUAAAAAGAGAAAAAUCCAACAAGCAUAACACUGAAAAUUUCAUCAAAAUCGGAUGUAAAAUAAGAAAGUAAUGACAUUUUAAAGUUUUGCUUAAUUUCACAAAACAGUUAUAUGCACAUUCUGGUGGGUAUGCAAAUGAGGUGACUGAUGACGUCAUCCACUCACUAUUUCUUUGGUAUUUUAUAAUAUGAAAUAUGGAAUAUUCAAUUUUUCUCCUCAUUGUCAAGUGAAAGAACGAUUAAUUCCUCCCUGAACAUGUGGAAUGAGCAUUGUUUAAUACUAUAUGAUCAGUCAAGUUGUUCCUUAUUGUCAAAUCUAUAAAAAAGAAGAAAUAUAGUAUAAUUCAAACAAUGAAAAACAAAAGAAAUAGUGAGUUAGGGACAUCAUCGACUGUCUCGUUUGAGUUGUGCAUACAAUGUUUUGUGAAAAAUAAGCAAAACUUUAAAAUGUCAUAACUUUCUUAUUUUACAUCCGAUUUUGAUGAAAUUUUCAGCGUUUUGCUAGUUUGAUUUUUCUCUUUUUAUUUAAAUCAACAUUUUCUGGGGUGGAUUUGACCUUUGAAUCAUAUUUAUACAGUCAUGAUUAAAGGACAUUGGACAGGUAACAAGAUUACAUUGUUUUACAAAUUUUAGUGUGAUUUUAUUUUAAAAGUAAUAAAAUUUACAUAAAAUGUCA